AAAUCCCCCAUGAACAAGGUUUAUCAGUUUCUAUGGAAAUCUUCCAGAGAUACAUGCCCUACCCUGCAAUUUUUCGGUCGAGGGGAUAUUUUUUACCAAUUAAGAGCAAGAUGCCCUUUUUGCUUCAAGAGAUUACUUCAAAACACACAGUGUCGUCAAGAUGUUGGUGUAUGGAGCUAAGAAGUUGGAAUCGGUGGUCUUUAACAAAAGUCACUUUGAGAACUUUGCAUGUGAUGUAGUCAGCAAGCACUACUGCAUUGAAAUCUACAAUGGAUCCAAAAGUGACAGGUCUCUCCAAUUUCAAUUGGCAUUCUAGCUCAAAAUUGGCUCAGAAAAU
Molecule: long non-coding RNA, 337 nt
Organism: Daphnia pulicaria
Lineage: Eukaryota; Metazoa; Arthropoda; Branchiopoda; Diplostraca; Daphniidae
Exons: 3
Source: RefSeq, a predicted model, not a curated record